UUUAAGGUGACCAUGGCGAUAGGGUCCACCCCUUACCAUUCCGAACAGGGAAGUUAAGCCUAUCAGCGCCGAUGGUACUGCUAUACCAAGUGGGAGAGUAGGUCGUCGCCUUUU
RNAcentral lists this ribosomal RNA (114 nucleotides) under Paracellulophaga baltica. The record is from RNAcentral. Lineage: Bacteria; Pseudomonadati; Bacteroidota; Flavobacteriia; Flavobacteriales; Flavobacteriaceae.